RNAcentral lists this microRNA precursor (192 nucleotides) under Oryza brachyantha (malo sina). RNAcentral describes it as "MIR812 microRNA precursor family". It matches the Rfam family "MIR812 microRNA precursor family". The record is from Rfam by way of RNAcentral. Lineage: Eukaryota; Viridiplantae; Streptophyta; Magnoliopsida; Poales; Poaceae.
AAUAAACGAAUUUCUGUGUUUUUGUUUAGAAUUUUUGACUCUUCGUCUUAUUUGAAAAUUUUUUAUGAUUAAUAUUUUUAUUGUUACUACAUGAUAAAACAUGAAUAGUAUUUUACGUGUGACUAAUUUUUUUUCAAUUUUCUAAUAAAAUUUUCAAAUAAGACGGAUAGUCAAACGCUCAAACUAAAAACC